This 1233-nucleotide ribosomal RNA is filed under the name Triticum aestivum (bread wheat). RNAcentral describes it as "partial small subunit ribosomal RNA". Lineage: Eukaryota; Viridiplantae; Streptophyta; Magnoliopsida; Poales; Poaceae. The record is from RNAcentral.
AUGAAGGGGCGCAACUGUAAUCCUGCUUUGCCUCUCGGCAUUGCUGUUCUUGUGCUAAUCCUAGCAUCCAUCUCCCCGGCUUCUUCGCAGCAGCAAGUCAGCUUCAACAUCGGUGGCGGCGCGGCCAAAAAGCCGAGCUCCGGUGGUGGCGCGGGAGCCGGAGGCGGCGACAGCUUUGACCAGUUCAUCGCCAAGAACGUCGAGCACUUUGCCGUCACCGAGCAGAUCUACGCUAGCAAGGCCAAGGCCAGCGGCGGCAAGGUGCUCGACGCGGAGCUGGCGGCGGCCGAGGCCGGCACGGUGAGGUAUGUAGUGAGCCCUGACGGCAAGGGAAAUUUCAAGACCAUCACCGAUGCGAUCAAGGCCGUGCCGGAGAAGAACAAGAAGAGGACCAUCCUCGACAUCAAGCCCGGCACCUACAAGGAGAAGCUGACAAUCCCGAUGUGGAAGCCGUUCAUCACGUUUGUGGGCAACCCGAAGAACCCGCCGGUCAUCACGUGGGACGACACGGCAGGGACGCGCGGCAAGGACGGCAAACCCCUCGGCACCCUCGCCAGCGCCACCGUCGCCGUCGAGGCCGACUACUUCUCGGCCUCCGGUGUCGUAUUCAAGAACCACGCACCAUUGGCAAUGGCGGGCCAAGAGGGCGGGCAAGCGGUGGCGCUGCGGUUGUUCGGCACCGCCUUCUACAACUGCACCAUUGACGGCGGGCAGGACACGCUCUACGACCACAAGGGCCUCCACUACUUUAAGAAUUGCAUCAUCCGAGGGAGCGUCGACUUCAUCUUCGGCUUCGGGAGGUCCCUCUACACGGACUGCACGAUCAUGUCGGUGACGACGGAGAUUGCGGUGCUGACGGCACAGCAGCGGAGCAAGGCCAUCGACGAUAAGGACGCCAUCGAGAGCGGGUUCUCGUUCGUGCGGUGCAAGAUCUUCGGACUGGGCCAGAUCUACCUGGGGAGGGCGUGGGGGGACUCGUCGCGGGUGGUCUACUCCUUCACAGACAUGAGCAAGGAGGUGGUGCCCGUCGGCUGGGACAAAUGGAAGGUCGAGAAGCCAGAUCGGGGUGGUGUAUUCUACGGGGAGUACAAGUGCAGCGGGCCCGGGGCCAUGUCCAACGAGAGGAUCGGGUGGGCGCGGGUGCUCGACGACGCGCAGGCGAGGCCCUUCACCGGCUCGCACUUCGUCUACGGCAACUCCUGGAUCCUACCCCCGCCCAAAAGCAACUUCUAG